CCUACGGGAGGCAGCAGUGAGGAAUAUUGGUCAAUGGACGAGAGUCUGAACCAGCCAAGUAGCGUGAAGGAUGACUGCCCUAUGGGUUGUAAACUUCUUUUAUCAAGGAGUAAAGUCAGGCACGUGUGCCUUUUUGUAUGUACUUUAUGAAUAAGGAUCGGCUAAAUCCGUGCCAGCCGCCGCGGUAAUACGGAGGAUGCGAGCGUUAUCCGGAUUUAUUGGGUUUAAAGGGUGCGGAGGCGGAAUAUCAAGUCAGCGGUAAAAAUUCGGGGCUCAACCCCGUCGUGCCGUUGAAACUGGCGGUCUUGAGUGGGCGAGAAGUAUGCGGAAUGCGUGGUGUAGCGGUGAAAUGCAUAGAUAUCACGCAGAACUCCGAUUGCGAAGGCAGCAUACCGGCGCUCAACUGACGCUGAUGCACGAAAGCGUGGGUAUCGAACAGGAUUAGAUACCCUAGUAGUC
Molecule: ribosomal RNA, 459 nt
Filed under: uncultured bacterium
Lineage: Bacteria
Description: partial 16S ribosomal RNA
Rfam family: Bacterial small subunit ribosomal RNA
Source: RNAcentral